AUCCUUGAAAGAGUGCGUAACAGCUCACUGGUCGAGCGUCCCUGCGCCAAAAAUGUGGGGGGCUAAGCAUGGCGCCGAAGCUUCGGAUUCAGUGGAAAUAUCCAUUGACUGGUAGGGGAGCGUUCUAUACAGGACGAAGCAUGAUUGUAAAAUUAUGUGGACAAUAUAGAAGUGAGAAUGACGGCAUGAGUAGCGAAAAGUGUGCGAAAAACACACUCACCGAAAACCCAAGGAUUCCUGGGGAAGGUUCAUCCACCCAGGGUUAGGCGGGACCUAAGGCGAGGCCGAAAGGCGUAGUCGAUGGACAGCAGGUAGACAAUCCUGCCCUUUGGCAGUUCGUUUGACAGAUGGAGUGACGCAGAAAGCUAUGCACGCCGGGUGAUGGAAAUCCCGGUACAAGGUUGUAGGCUUGAGAAAGAGGCAAAUCCCUUUCUCUCCAAGGCCGAGAACUGACGUGGAAGAAUCCAAUUCGAGAAGGUGCAAAUGCUCGGCUGCCGAGAAAAACUUCUAUGGAGAACUGUCGAACCCGUACUCAAAACCGACACAGGUGGGUUGGCUUAGAAGGCUAAGGUGAACGGGAUAACCAUUGUUAAGGAACUCUGCAAGUUGACUCCGUAACUUCGGGAGAAGGAGUGGCUGGAGAUGUGAAUAUUUUACAUAGUAAGCAUCUUUGGUUCGCAGAAACCAGGCUCAGGCGACUGUUUAACUAAAACACAGGACUCUGCUGAAGGCGCAAGCCGAAGUAUAGGGUCUGACACCUGCCCGGUGCUGGAAGGUUAAAGGGAGAGGUCAGCCGCAAGGCGAAGCUUUGAACUGAAGCCCCAGUAAACGGCGGCCGUAACUAUAACGGUCCUAAGGUAGCGAAAUUCCUUGUCGGGUAAGUUCCGACCUGCACGAAAGGUGUAACGAUCUGAGCGCUGUCUCGACAGUGGGCCCGGUGAAAUUGUGGUACUGGUAAAGACGCCAGUUACCCGCAGUAGGACGGAAAGACCCCGUGGAGCUUUACUGUAACUUGAUAUUGGAUUUCGGUAUAGUAUGUAUAGGAUAGGUGGGAGGCAGUGAAAUAAGGUCGCCAGACUUUAUGGAGCCAUCGUUGGAAUACCACCCUUAUUGUGCUGGGAUUCUAACCGCAGGCACUGAAUCGUGAUGCGGGACAUUGUCAGGCGGGCAGUUUGACUGGGGCGGUCGCCUCCCAAAGAGUAACGGAGGCGCGCGAAGGUCACCUCAAGAUGAAUGGAAAACAUCUAUAGAGCGUAAGGGUAUAAGGUGGCUUAACUGUGAGAUUGACAGAUCGAUCAGAAACGAAAGUUGGUCCUAGUGAUCCGGUGGUCCUGAGUGGAAAGGCCAUCGCUCAUCGGAUAAAAGCUACCCCGGGGAUAACAGGCUGAUGCCGCCCGAGAGUUCCUAUCGACGGCGGCGUUUGGCACCUCGAUGUCGGCUCAUCGCAUCCUGGGGCUGAAGCAGGUCCCAAGGGUUGGUCUGUUCGCCCAUUAAAGCGGCACGUGAGCUGGGUUCAGAACGUCGUGAGACAGUUCGGUCCCUAUCCACUGUGGGCGCAAGGUAUUUGAGAGGAACUGUCCCUAGUACGAGAGGACCGGGAUGGACGUACCGCUAGUGAACCAGUUAUUCCGCCAGGAGUAAAAGCUGGGUAGCCAUGUACGGAUCGGAUAACCGCUGAAGGCAUCUAAGCGGGAAGCCGGCCUCAAGAUGAGAUACCUCAUUCGU
This 1725-nucleotide ribosomal RNA is filed under the name human gut metagenome. Its description in RNAcentral is "bacterial LSU rRNA". It matches the Rfam family "Bacterial large subunit ribosomal RNA", at positions 1118 to 2821 of the family's 2925-position model. The record is from RNAcentral.